ACGCUGGCGGCGUGCCUAACACAUGCAAGUCGAACGAAGCUGCGGUGAAGGAGGCUUCGGCCAAUGGAUCCGUAGACUUAGUGGCGGACGGGUGAGUAAUGCGUGAGCAACCUGCCCUUCAGAGGGGGACAACAGUUGGAAACGACUGCUAAUACCGCAUGAUAUCAUCGGGAGGCAUCUUCUGAUGAUCAAAGAUUUUAUCGCUGAAGGAUGGGCUCACGUCUGAUUAGCUAGUUGGUGAGGUAACGGCUCACCAAGGCUGCGAUCAGUAGCCGGACUGAGAGGUUGAACGGCCACAUUGGGACUGAGAUACGGCCCAGACUCCUACGGGAGGCAGCAGUGGGGAAUAUUGGGCAAUGGGCGCAAGCCUGACCCAGCAACGCCGCGUGAAGGAAGAAGGCUUUCGGGUUGUAAACUUCUUUUAUGAGGAACGAAGGACGUGACGGUACCUCAUGAAUAAGCCACGGCUAACUACGUGCC
This 480-nucleotide ribosomal RNA is filed under the name uncultured organism. RNAcentral's name for it is "SSU rRNA". It matches the Rfam family "Bacterial small subunit ribosomal RNA", at positions 33 to 509 of the family's 1533-position model. The record is from RNAcentral.